Molecule: ribosomal RNA, 502 nt
Filed under: uncultured bacterium
Lineage: Bacteria
Description: bacterial SSU rRNA
Rfam family: Bacterial small subunit ribosomal RNA
Source: RNAcentral
UCCUGGCUUAGGACGAACGCUGGCGGUAUGCUUAACACAUGCAAGUCGAACGAGACGAGAUGGAAGGAUCCUCGGGUGACGGAAAUCUUAGAAAGUGGCGAACGGGUGAGUAACGCGUGGGUAACCUGCCCUAUGGAAAGGAAUAGCCUCGGGAAACUGGGAGUAAUGCCUUAUAAUACAUUGAAGUCGCAUGGCUUUGAUGUUAAACGCUCCGGUGCCAUAGGAUGGACCCGCGUCCCAUUAGCUAGUUGGUGAGAUAACAGCCCACCAAGGCGACGAUGGGUAACCGGUCUGAGAGGGCGAACGGUCACACUGGAACUGAGACACGAUCCAGACUCCUACGGGAGGCAGCAGUGGGGAAUAUUGCGCAAAUGGGGGAAACCCUGACGCAGCAAUACCGCGUGAGUGAAGAAGGUUUUCGGAUCGUAAAGCUCUGUUAUUGGGGAGGAAAAAAGACGGUACCCAAGAAGAAAGUCCCGGCUAACUACGUGCCAGCCGCAGC